UACGGAAGCAGCAGUGGGGAAUAUUGCACAAUGGGCGCAAGCCUGAUGCAGCCAUGCCGCGUGUAUGAAGAAGGCCUUCGGGUUGUAAAGUACUUUCAGUCGUGAGGAAGGUGUUAAGGUUAAUAACCUUAGCAAUUGACGUUAGCGACAGAAGAAGCACCGGCUAACUCCGUGCCAGCAGCCGCGGUAAUACGGAGGGUGCGAGCGUUAAUCGGAAUUACUGGGCGUAAAGGGCACGCAGGCGGUUAAUUAAGUUGGAUGUGAAAUCCCCGGGCUUAACCUGGGAAUGGCAUUCAAGACUGGUUAGCUAGAGUCUUGUAGAGGGGGUAGAAUUCCAUGUGUAGCGGUGAAAUGCGUAGAGAUGUGGAGGAAUACCGGUGGCGAAGGCGGCCCCUGGGACAAAGACUGACGCUCAUGUGCGAAAGCGUGGGGAGCAAACAGGGAUUAGAUACC
This 453-nucleotide ribosomal RNA is filed under the name uncultured bacterium. RNAcentral's name for it is "bacterial SSU rRNA". It matches the Rfam family "Bacterial small subunit ribosomal RNA", at positions 340 to 786 of the family's 1533-position model. The record is from RNAcentral.